AUGGCGCUUGCUCUCCUCCUGCCCUCCCCCGCAUCCCACCGCCGCUCGCUUCGUUCUGUCUCCUCUCCGCCUCUCGCGCGUGUCACCACCGCCGCCAGCUUCGGCCUCGCGUUUUUCUCCCAUCUCUCCUCCGGCUGCUGCUCUCUGCAGAGGACUGGCGCCGCGGGCGGCGACGGCGAUGGCGCCGGCGAGACCUCAUCGGAAGAGCCGGUGGCUGGAUGGCUCGACACGGACCUGCUCAGGCGGGUCUCAGGCGCGGGGAAUGCGGACCAGGCGCUGGACAUUGUCGCAGAGUCGGCGGGAGGUUCGGGCGCCGCUCUGGAAGCGCCCGAAUGCAACGCGAUCAUCGCCGCGGCACUUGACCGAGGCAACGUCGAGCUCGCGCUCUCGGUGUUCGAAGCCAUGCGAUCCGGCUUUGCGGGAGUAGGAGGCUGGGGGUGGGCGAGACCGGACAUUCGGACAUAUGCCUUGCUCGUACAGGGGUUGGCAGCCUCCCUGCGUGUUUCUGAUGCAAUCAGGAUAAUCGAUUAUGUGUCUUGCGCUGGUGUUUCUUCUACAGAGGAGAUUCCUUUCGGGAUUAUUGUUCGCUGUCCAACCUGCAUGGUAGCAGUUGCUGUUGCUCAACCGCAGGAUGGAACUCAGGUUGUUUCCUGUUCGAAGUGUCGAUAUCAAUAUGAAUUAUUUUCUGGAGACAUUACGAGCAUUGAAUCUGAAGAAGUUAGCAUGGAUAUUUCAGCUCUGGAGAAGGCAUUGAGAUUCAUUAAUAUAAGAAAAGAUGGUCUUCCAGCUGCUGUCCACUCUAUUGUGAUCCGCGCACCUUCAGGAAUAGCACGUACUCAUAGAUUUGCUACCCAGAAUGUAGAACUCCCUGCUCGAGAAGGAGAAAGAGUAACCAUUUCGUUGGCAGCCCCAUCCAAUAUUUAUCGUGAAGUGGGUCCCCUCAAGAUUGCCGCACGCUCACAAGGAUUUAAACCAGACGAACCUAUGUGUCUGACUAAUCACAGAAAUGGACAAAUCUCAAAGUUGCUAAGAGCUCCAUCAAAGAAUGAAGGAUCAUUUUUCCUUAGCCCAUAUUUAUUGGUCGGUGCUCUUGCUUUGCUUGCUUCUGGAGAUGCUGCUUCCGUAUUCAUUGACCCAAGUCUUCCUAGACUUAUUACAGCAACUGCAGUUGCAUCAGCUGCCAUCGGAACAACUCUAAAUCAAGUGGUCCUGCCAGAAAUUCAAAAGCUUCCACAAAAGGCGGUGGAUAUAGUUGCUGUACGGCAGCAGCUUUUGUCUCAGUAUGACAUUCUUCAGAGCCGUCUUAAGGAACUGAAACAGUUUGCACAAAAAGAGGUGUGGAUGCUCGCAAGGAUGUGUCAAUUGGACAACAAAAUACUAGCAGUGGGCGAACCAUCUUAUCGUGCUAGACGAGGUAGAGUAAAGAGGGUACGGGAAAGCUUGGAAAGCACACUCUCUGCAAGGAUUGAGCUAAUGGAAAGUUAUGCAAAAUUGUGUUCAAUGAUUGAAAUUGAAAUUGAGAUGGACUCUGAUGUUAUUGCUGCUGAAGCGGCAAGCAGUGCAGAGAGGAUAUCUGAGCAAAUACAACAAUUAAUGGAGAUCGAUAGUCUUGAAGAGCAAUGGCGUAUACAAGCUGAAGCUAAUGAUGAAGCUGAAAGGCUUCUGAGUUCUGAUUCUUCAGAAACAUUGCCUGCUGGACAUAUGUAAUGCAAUUUUGGAGAGGUUGUGGCACCGUUUUUGACUCGUCACUUUGCAGGACAGUUAGGGAAAUUACUCAACAAUUCUGGUGUCGCCGAAGAGAUCCAACCCCGCAGGAAGUUGACGUCGUAGCUCCAAGUGCAGGAACUUCAGCACCAAAUGCAAGCGCAACAGACGGCGUACGAGGCGGCGUUGGCCGAAGAGAGGAGGAUACGGCAAGAGAACGAGCAGAAGCAGGCGGCCGAGAUGGCCCAGAUGUACAACUACAUUCAAAGUCUUUCUGUCCAAAUGGGUAAUCCCAUCCCAGCCUUCCCUGUGGCUCUGCUCAGAGCUCUUCACCGUGUGCCAGUAAAAAGGCACACGGCGAACCUAAACACUUUGCCGUGUGCCAAAGUCCUGGGCACACGGCGAAGAGCUCUGUUAGUGGGCCCCGCGUGAUCAAGUUCGCCGUGUGCCUAUCCAGGUGGCACACGGCGAAGUGGGAAAUUUCGCCGUGUGCCUACUUCCUGGCACACGGCGAAGUCUUCUGUCACGCCGUUAGGCCGUCCUCACGAGGUCAAUGUUUUUUUUUGUC
RNA transcript from Panicum virgatum (switchgrass), 2272 nucleotides. RefSeq lists it as uncharacterized. The transcript is spliced from 15 exons. Lineage: Eukaryota; Viridiplantae; Streptophyta; Magnoliopsida; Poales; Poaceae. The record is from RefSeq and is a predicted model, not a curated record.